AAACCAACAGGGAUUGCCCUAGUAACGGCGAGUGAACAGGCAAGAGCUCAGAUUUGAAAGGCACUUUUGUGCCGUUGUAUUCUGAANUUAGGGUCCUGANAAACGAUGCUUAAGUCUUCUGGAAAGGAGCGCCAUGGAGGGUGAUAGCCCCGUCUAGCAUUGACCUCAUAUAGGAUCUUAACAUG
RNAcentral lists this ribosomal RNA (185 nucleotides) under uncultured Candida. Its description in RNAcentral is "partial large subunit ribosomal RNA". It matches the Rfam family "Eukaryotic large subunit ribosomal RNA", at positions 62 to 261 of the family's 3401-position model. The record is from RNAcentral. Lineage: Eukaryota; Fungi; Ascomycota; Saccharomycetes; Saccharomycetales.